GCCACAGGAUGACCUCAUAGAUAUGCAUUAGCGCUCUGCGCAGAGAUGACCCACUAUCUAUCACCCAAGUCUGAUGGCU
Small nucleolar RNA from Hucho hucho (huchen), 79 nucleotides. Its record names the gene SNORD83. It matches the Rfam family "Small nucleolar RNA SNORD83". Rfam says of the family: U83 (SNORD83) and U84 (SNORD84) are members of the C/D class of snoRNA which contain the C (UGAUGA) and D (CUGA) box motifs. They act as guanine methylation guides but lack complementarity to ribosomal RNA. NCBI's taxonomy places the organism in Eukaryota, Metazoa, Chordata, Actinopteri, Salmoniformes, Salmonidae. The record is from Ensembl.